CUUUACUGUAGCCUGGAAUUGGGUUCGGGCUUUGACUGCGCAGGAUAGGUGGGAGACUAUGAAGUUGCCCUUGUGGGGGCAAUGGAGUCAACGGUGAGAUACCACUCUGUUAAAGCUAGAAUUCUAACCGAUAGCCGUUAUCCGGCAUCGGAACAGUUUCAGGUGGGCAGUUUGACUGGGGCGGUCGCCUCCUAAACGAUAACGGAGGCGCGCAAAGGUUCUCUCAGGCUGGUUGGAAAUCAGCCGUAGAGUGUAAAAGCAUAAGAGAGCUUGACUGUGAGACUGACAAGUCGAGCAGGGACGAAAGUCGGCUUUAGUGAUCCGACGGCACUAAGUGGAAGGGCCGUCGCUAAACGGAUAAAAGUUA
Molecule: ribosomal RNA, 367 nt
Filed under: uncultured organism
Description: bacterial LSU rRNA
Rfam family: Bacterial large subunit ribosomal RNA
Source: RNAcentral